This 920-nucleotide long non-coding RNA is filed under the name Chrysemys picta bellii (western painted turtle). Its description in RNAcentral is "lncRNA (ENSCPBG00000026387.1)". The record is from RNAcentral. Lineage: Eukaryota; Metazoa; Chordata; Testudines; Emydidae.
AGCACUUGCAGCCAUGGAUCUGCUCUCCCCGGGCCCAGGAGAGGAGCCGAGCUGUGAGAGCCAGCGCCCGGCUCUUCAUGUUCUACCGCUUCAAAGCCAUCACCGAGGACCUGAAACCCAUGGUAGAGCAGGGCUACAUGGCCGGGCUGCUGACAAGCCAGGCCUUCGAUGCUCAGGAGGCCACCAGAUACUGGGCAUCUCAGGCUCUCUACUGGCUCUUCACGCCUUGCAAAGCUGUCGUGUACACCAAGACAGGGGCAGUGGUGAGCGUGCUGAGCAAGACGCAGAAGGAUGCCAGCUGCAGAGAGAACCCUGUCCAUGUUGCUAUGCUCAUCGCGAAGCACCUGCAGUCGAGUGACCUCAUGCCCUUCAGCUUCACCCUGCUGGUGGGCCUGCUGGAGAAGGAGGAGUGUGCAGACCAGCUGGCGGGCGUCAUGGAGGCGGUGCUGAGAGAGCAAGAAUCAGAGCUGCAGGGCCAAGUGCAGGAUCUCCAGGCGGCUCUUUCCUACACACUGAGCCCACCCCGGGGGGGGCGGCUGAGUGAGGGGACGAGAGACAUUCUCCACCUACUGGCCAGACAACACACCAAGGCCGCGGUCAGCAUCCUCCUGAAGAUGCCCUGGCCUUACAAACGGUGAGCGCCGGCCCCAGGGAAAGGAUAGAACACCCCACUCCGGCCUCCAAGCCCCGCCUUAAUGGGAUCACUCCACAGCACCAUGGUUACAUGCAGCACAGCCCCUCCCCUUGCACACAGGCCCCCAGGGAACAGCCCUGCCCCGGCAUAGCCUCCCUGUCCCUUGGAGGGCUCCGUGUGCUCUGGGACCCCCGGCUCAGGGCUCCCCCAGCUGAGCUAUUCCUAACACAGCUGUCACCCUCCCCCACUUCGUUCUGUGCACUGCUAACCAGUCCACCCCAUCCCG